GUUUACCAGCCCAGGAGAUGAGUAAAACCUCAAGUUUGAGGAAGGGCAGAUACAUCCUAUUGUGACUGGGGCCUAGCACACCCCAAUCGUAGGCCACCUCAUGGCUUGCAAGAGGGAUUUGAGACGUAUAAAAGGUGUGCAGUGUUAGAGCAUCUCAAAAGCCUCAGCAUCUCCACGUUCCAGCCACUGGUGAAAUCAGUGCACAUCCAGACCAGAAUGUAUCAUCCAAAGCAGAAGCUGUGCUGCCCGCUACCAAAGGAUUGCUGCCCUCCAUCCCAGCAAUGCUGCACCCCACCCAAGUAUUGCUGCCCCGCACCAAAGGAUUGCUGUCCCCCACCUCAGCAGUACUGUCCCCCUCCGCGGCAAUGCUGCCCCCCAGUAAAGUACUGUUUCCCCCCACCAAAACACUGCUAAACUCCACCUCAGCACAGCAAGCAGCCUUACCAACCUCCACCCAAGGCCAAGGAGCCCUCUGUCCCAACGUGCCCAGCCCCUCAGCAGUGCCAGAAGUCCAAGCAGAAGUAAACCCCAGGCAUGGGCCAGAGGCCAAGCUCCCUGCAGAACAGAGAACAUGAAGCCCACUCCCCUCUCUCAGCCAGCUAGCUGUCAGCACCGCUCACCCCCGGCUUCUGGAAGCAGCCACACUUGUGGAAAAGGCAACACCAAGAUGGCAGCUUCCUGGAUCAACAUUUCUUAUGAAUUAGAAGCUGCAAUUUCCGUUUAGAAAGGAUCCGGUUCUAAACCUUCUAAUCUUCGUUGCUGACUUGUAUACUUCGCCCUUUUGGCUGCUUGGAAAUAUAAGCAGCAUGCCCGACCACCCUUUCUUAGCACACUUGGUCUCUGCUCCAGUUUUUCAAACAAUUAAACACAAUUCCGCUGCCA
This is a long non-coding RNA of Aethalodelphis obliquidens (Pacific white-sided dolphin), 882 nucleotides long. RefSeq lists it as uncharacterized. Lineage: Eukaryota; Metazoa; Chordata; Mammalia; Artiodactyla; Delphinidae. The record is from RefSeq and is a predicted model, not a curated record. The transcript is spliced from 2 exons.